GAGGGUAUAGCUCAGCGGCAGAGUGUGUGCUUAGCACGCACGAAGUCCUGGGUUCAAUCCCCAGUGCCUCCA
This 72-nucleotide transfer RNA is filed under the name Camelus bactrianus (Bactrian camel). It matches the Rfam family "tRNA". From Rfam's summary of the family: Transfer RNA (tRNA) molecules are approximately 80 nucleotides in length. Their secondary structure includes four short double-helical elements and three loops (D, anti-codon, and T loops). Lineage: Eukaryota; Metazoa; Chordata; Mammalia; Artiodactyla; Camelidae. RNAcentral also lists the same sequence under 1 other name. The record is from Rfam by way of RNAcentral.